This is a small nuclear RNA of Zalophus californianus (California sea lion), 105 nucleotides long. The record is from Ensembl. NCBI's taxonomy places the organism in Eukaryota, Metazoa, Chordata, Mammalia, Carnivora, Otariidae.
GUGCUCGUUCAGCAGUACAUAUACUAAAAUCAGAAUGAUACAGAAAGAUUAGCAUGGCCCCUGCUCAAGGAUGACAUGCAGAUUCGUGAAGUGUUCCAUAUUUUG